CAAUUCAGAACUGCAGAUAGUACAGCUUUCACAGAAGCAAUGGGAUGUCUGAGCACAAGUGGCUGACUUGGGAGUGACUUUAUGAAGCACUUUUCUGCCUUCCUCAGGCAUAAAAAACUGGAAUUCUGCACCUGCAUCAGAAAAGGACCAGACUAAUUCUGCCAUCCAGUAACAAGAAAUUCACAAGCUAAGCGGUUUGAAAUUAAAUUGCAAGAGAUUUGCCAACUGGAAGACAAAGGUAGAUGAAGUCACUUUGACCCCUGCCUGUUAUACAGAAGCUUUGGAAGUACUGUGAAGUCUCUAAGAUUUGAUGUAGAGAUGAGUCUGCUGUGCUGAAAAUCAGAAAAUGAUUCAGUCCCCUCAGGUCAAGAAAGGAAAAAGAAAGAAAGAAAGAAGAAGAGAAAAGGAGGAAGAGGAAGAAA
Molecule: long non-coding RNA, 422 nt
Organism: Antechinus flavipes (yellow-footed antechinus)
Lineage: Eukaryota; Metazoa; Chordata; Mammalia; Dasyuromorphia; Dasyuridae
Exons: 3
Source: RefSeq, a predicted model, not a curated record